RNAcentral lists this ribosomal RNA (192 nucleotides) under uncultured eukaryote. Its description in RNAcentral is "partial 18S ribosomal RNA". It matches the Rfam family "Eukaryotic small subunit ribosomal RNA", at positions 1299 to 1458 of the family's 1831-position model. The record is from RNAcentral.
UGGUGGAGUGAUCUGUCUGGUUAAUUCUGAUAACGAACGAGACCAUCGCUUAUUAAAUAGAAUUGGGAACACGAAGAUAUGUAUCUGCAUUCUCUUUUGAGUUUGUUGAUCAUAUUUUCAUCAGUUGUUACUAAAUAUACUUCUUAAAGGGACUAUUCAUAGUUCAGUGAAUUGAAGUUGAUGGCAAAAACA